This 71-nucleotide transfer RNA is filed under the name Marmota monax (woodchuck). It matches the Rfam family "tRNA". From Rfam's summary of the family: Transfer RNA (tRNA) molecules are approximately 80 nucleotides in length. Their secondary structure includes four short double-helical elements and three loops (D, anti-codon, and T loops). Further hydrogen bonds mediate the characteristic L-shaped molecular structure. tRNAs have two regions of fundamental functional importance: the anti-codon, which is responsible for specific mRNA codon recognition, and the 3' end, to which the tRNAs corresponding amino acid is attached (by aminoacyl-tRNA synthetases). tRNAs cope with the degeneracy of the genetic code in two manners: having more than one tRNA (with a specific anti-codon) for a particular amino acid; and 'wobble' base-pairing, i.e. permitting non-standard base-pairing at the 3rd anti-codon position. Lineage: Eukaryota; Metazoa; Chordata; Mammalia; Rodentia; Sciuridae. The record is from Rfam by way of RNAcentral.
GGGGUUGUGGUUCAGUGGUAGAGUGCUUGCCUGGAAUGCAUGAGGACCUGGGUUCCAUCCUCAGCACCCCA